Molecule: unclassified non-coding RNA, 520 nt
Filed under: uncultured Glomus
Lineage: Eukaryota; Fungi; Glomeromycota; Glomeromycetes; Glomerales; Glomeraceae
Description: SSU rRNA
Rfam family: Eukaryotic small subunit ribosomal RNA
Source: RNAcentral
AGCAGCCGCGGUAAUUCCAGCUCCAAUAGCGUAUAUUAAAGUUGCUGCAGUUAAAAAGCUCGUAGUUGAAUUUCGGGAUCAAUAUGUUGGUCGUGCCUCGGUACGUACUAGCUUAUUGGUUUCUCCCUUCUGACGAACCAUGAUGUCAUUUAUUUGGUGUUAUGGGAAAUCAGGACUGUUACUUUGAAAAAAUUAGAGUGUUUAAAGCAGGCUCACGCUUGAAUACAUUAGCAUGGAAUAAUGAAAUAGGACGUUUGAUUCUAUUUUGUUGGUUUCUAGGAUCGACGUAAUGAUUAAUAGGGAUAGUUGGGGGCAUUAGUAUUCAAUUGUCAGAGGUGAAAUUCUUGGAUUUAUUGAAGACUAACUACCGCGAAAGCAUUUGCCAAGGAUGUUUUCAUUAAUCAAGAACGAAAGUUAGGGGAUCGAAGACGAUCAGAUACCGUCGUAGUCUUAACCAUAAACUAUGCCGACUAGGGAUCGGAUGAUGUUAAUUUUUUAAUGACUCAUUCGGCGCCUUACG